CCUCGCAUAUCUAUAAAUACAUCGGACGCCAUCUUUGGUGUUUACCAGUAGUGCUGUAGCUGAAACUUGGUUUUAGGCUCGACUUUCGUUGCAGAGUGUUUUCCGUUUUCAAAAAGUGGCCGAUGAUAGACAGUGAAAGCUUAAACUAUAUCAUGAUGAUUCUAAAAGUGUAUCGAAUACGUGUUGUGUUCAAUAGUCGAAAUUCCGUGUCCGAGACGAUGAUUUAGUCGGAAAACAGUAUUGGCACGUAACGUGCGAGAUAUCCGACAUACAUACAUCUCUCGUCGUAUUUGUAUUUAAUGGAAUCUCUAUAGAUUAAUUUGCGACUACUAAACUGCACUAUCACGAAUCACCGUGGACAUGGAGCCGUCAUCGAACAGCGGAAGCGGCGAUGGAAAUGACACCAAGGGCAGCUGUUUGCUACUGCGCUACGCAAGCCAGAAUUCGCUCGACGAGAGCUCACAGAAACACAUUCCGAGGGAAAAUGGAAAGGACAAACCACCCUAUCGAAACCACCAUCACACUAAUCGGGCAUUCGACGUGAUGAAUACCAUGAGAAAGCAAAACCUGCUUUGCGACGUGACCUUGGUGGCGGAUGGCGGGGUGGAAGUUCCUGCCCACAAAAUGGUGUUGGCCGCGUGCAGCCCGUACUUUUAUGCGAUGUUUACGAGCUUCGAGGAGCGGGAACGAGAGAGGAUCACUCUGCAGGGUGUUGACCACGCUGCCCUCGACCUCCUCGUCGACUACGUCUACUCCGCAGAAGUUCACGUCACCGAGGACAACGUGCAGGUGCUUCUGCCGGCGGCGAAUCUCCUCCAGCUAAACGACGUCCGUGACGCGUGCUGCGACUUUCUUCAGGCCCAACUCCAUCCGUCCAACUGCCUUGGCAUCCGAGCCUUCGCCGAUCUCCACGGGUGUAUGGAGCUCCUCGCGCACGCCGACAGCUACAUAGAACAACAUUUCUCAGAGGUAGUCGAAGGAGAGGAGUUCCUCACCCUGACCCCGCAACAAGUCGCCAAGCUGAUAUGCAGCGAUCGUUUGACUGUGCCGUCCGAGGAGAAGGUGUUCGAGUGCGUUAUAUCAUGGGUCCACAACGAUCUGGAGCGAAGGCAAGACCACCUUGCUCAGCUGAUGGAGCACGUCAGGCUGCCUCUCCUUUCUCAGGAGUACCUAGUCCAGAGAGUCGAACAGGAACCACUGCUAAAAGCUAACUUGCAGUGCAAGGACUUCCUCAUCGAAGCUUUGAAGUACCAUCUCCUCAAAGGGGAGCAGAAAACCUUGUUCAAAACCGCAAGGACCAAACCACGGCAGCCGGUCGGUUUACCCAAGGUUCUAUUAGUUGUCGGGGGACAAGCACCCAAGGCCAUCAGAAGCGUUGAGUGCUACGAUUUUAAGGAGGAACGAUGGUACCAAGUUUCCGAGCUUCCUACGCGACGCUGUAGAGCUGGACUUUCCGUUCUCGGUGGUCGAGUUUAUGCUGUUGGAGGCUUUAACGGUUCUCUCAGAGUUCGAACAGUAGAUGUUUACGAUGCGGCGGCUGAUCAAUGGUCAGCCUGUCCAGGCAUGGAGGCUCGAAGAUCAACCCUGGGCGUCGCAGUCCUCGGCAACUGCAUCUACGCGGUCGGUGGUUUCGACGGUUCAACCGGGUUGAACUCGGCCGAAGUCUACGAUCCUCGGACCCACGAGUGGAGGAUAAUUGCACCGAUGUCAACGAGGCGGAGCAGCGUCGGCGUCGGCGUCGUUAAGGGCCUUUUGUACGCGGUUGGUGGUUAUGACGGUGCCUCUCGGCAGUGCCUCUCGAGCGUCGAAUGUUACAAUCCGGAAACCGAUCAGUGGAAAGCGGUACCAGAAAUGUCCUCACGUCGAAGUGGUGCCGGGGUUGGAGUCCUCGACGGUAUUCUGUACGCCGUUGGAGGUCAUGAUGGGCCUCUGGUAAGGAAAAGUGUCGAAGCCUUCAACCCCGAGACUAAUCAAUGGACCUCCGUCAGCGACAUGGCUCUCUGUAGACGAAACGCCGGCGUUGUCGCGUUGAACGGGAUGUUGUACGUCGUUGGCGGCGAUGACGGAACGUCGAAUCUCUCCUCGGUCGAGGUGUACGCUCCGCGUACGGACACGUGGUUAACCCUGCCAGCAUGCAUGGGAAUCGGUCGCAGUUACGCCGGUGUGGCUAUAAUCGACAAGCCGUUGAUGGGAACCCUGACGAUGUGAGGUAUGCCGGCCGCUGGACACCCGUUUGACGUAGAUAACGACGUGGAAUCGACCACCGAUCAUCUACGGGAAUCGGGUCCCAGCGGCACUCCGUCCAACCACUCUGAGCAGAACGCACCUCCGCUUUACCACCAGCUUAGCCACGACUGCGAGGGGCCACGUUGCCUGUGCCAGAGAUACGAGAACGGGGAACUUGCCGCGGCUGUUCUGAACCAGAACCGGAACCCGAACGAGCUUAGGGACUACGAAAAUCAUCAGAACGUCGGGCGCGGUCAUCGGCGCCCAAACCAGAGCCACCCGAACCUGAAUCCGAACUAUCAAAACCCGAUCGAUUUCAUCGCGAACGACAACCACGCGACCGGAAGAAGGGGCGGAAGUGGACACGACCGCGACCGCCGGCAUUACGAGCCUGAAGAAAACAUUUACGAACGUCUCGACGAGGUGCAGGGCUGCAGGGAAGGUGAUCAUACCUACGAGCGCAUAGACGAUAGAGCGUGGCAUCGCAGGGCUCGGUACCGGACUUCCGGUCCCCAAAACGUAGCUGGACCCAGCGACGUCUACGUCGACUCUAGGCGCAUAACGGGGCCCUCGUGUCUGAGCAGGCUGGGGAGGAACUGUUUCUCGACCGAGAACAUUGCCUCUGCGUCGAACCGACGCUACGUAUAUCAGCUCGGUCAGAACUGCACGUGCCAAUUUUGCAGACAUCUCGACGCCCGCGCUGUCUGCCAAUACUGCAACAACUUCCACGACAAACUCCGGUACCAGGAUCCGGGGACCCUUCCCAACCUCGCAGGAUCAAGACACUACAUAUAUCAGCUAUCGAGGAGUUGCAGGUGCGCCUUGUGCCGAGAUGAUUCGCUUUAUGCCCGCUUCCCCAUCAACUCAAGACUCUCCGAUUCGUUCAGGCGGGACUGCCACUGCCGAAAUCCGGGAACCUGCUCGUGCAGGAGCAGAUUUUUGUCGUACUCAAAUCCCGCGAUCUACAUCGGCAGGAUUAACCAUGCGGUAAACAAUCCACUCUACGCGACCCCCGUCGGCAUUUUGGACCCGAACCCGUCAACGUCGAGCGGUGCGCAAGGACUCGGCGAGCCCUCGACCAGCACCGGUCGGACCUCGGGUAAUUACGCGUCGAGCAAUCCUUCGAGCUCCGGGGUUCCCGCUUGUUCGGGAAAUCGAUCAAGCGAUCGUCAGCACGUCUGCGAUGACUCCUGCAUACGGAACCCCAACGUCGGCGGUGUCUAUCAGAUCCUGGGCAAGUGUGAGAGAGCCGAUUGUCAUCACGGCAGGGUUUCCAUACACUGGGUGUUCGUGAAUAAAUGGGUUCCCUCGUGGAGUGCCCAGGAUUCUGUACCUGAGGCCGACGCUAAUCCCGAACCUGCGUCCAGAGAUGACGAACCUCGAAAUCAGCCGGAAGGUGACGCGGACGAAUCCUAAUUUCUGAGAAUUCUUGACUGCGUGUCAGUCAAUUGUAAACAAGAUCCUGGGGGCGACAACUGGCUCGUAAAUAUCGCUGAAAAGCACCACGGAGUGACAGCUCAAAGUGAUUAAUAAUCGAGUCAGCUUGACAAACAGACGCAAAGGCGCGGUAAUUGACUUGCGGAACGUCAAAGAUGCGCGUGUGUGCGUGCGUGCGUGUUCGUACAAUAUGGAAGAGAUAAGAAAUUCCAUAAUGUCAAACCCCCGCGGUGAUAAAGGAGCUCUGCUGGUACAGACGCCAACGCCGAGUUUCCUGGUUCCGCGUUGACGUUGGGGGCUGAUUAAUCUCAAUCGUGAUCUCCCGGUCUGAUCAAUUUCGUGGAAAGCAACGAAAUGUCAAUUUUAUCCGUGCAUGCAGUGGGAUAGGGCUUCAACCUUGUCGGCAAUUUUUCAACCUUGGGUCACGCACGACGUCCCGAUUAUUGCCAGCCAGUCAUUUGGCAAGCAUUUUCAGCGCGUUUCCGGUAAACAAAAUACGUACACCGCCUGACCGACAGCUGCUUCAUGUUACACUUCGGCAUAUGUCAAUCUAACUAAAAUUUCAACGGAAGCUACUUUGCACAAGUCUUCGAAGUCUCGAUAGGCAUAAGACGUAAUGUAGUUUUUACUCUAGAUAUUACAUUACGUCCGUAAGGAAUUUCCUGUUGACACACCGGCAACAGCCACGUAUAAAUCUGGCCUUUUACUCCCCGUUGUGUCUACUCGCACUCUAUAUACUUAUUAUUUUGUAAUAGCGUUACACUAACUCACUUCACUAUCGCAUGCCGGUAUUCGCAUAAGUGUGAGUACACACCUGGUCAUUGUAAUACAACAGAGUGAUAGCAGUUAGCCUUCGUUCGCGGGGGAGGCGAUUACCGAUCAGACAAACCGCACGUCGCAACACCGUUGAGGUUUCGCUCUUGCAAAAGAAUUCCGGAGCAGGCUGACUACCGCCCGUCGGCCUCCGCCACGAAAGACACCGAAAAUAAAUAAACAAAUAAAUCGAGCUGGCUGAAAUAUUAUAUCUCGGAAAAAUUUGGAGGAUUUGAUAUUCAAACGAAUUAACCCGAAUGUUUCCAGUGAAUUUAAAUUCAUUUCAAAACUUAAUUUCUACCGCGGUGUAGGUACACGGAGAUCUGUACUGCAUCCCUUAAACAGAGAUAUAGAUAAUUUUGCUAAUACGGUUUAUUUAUUUAUUUUUUACUCUUCUUAAUGCUAUAGAAUCGCUCUAGUCAUCCAAUCUGGCAUUGAUCUAGAUUUCUAUGCUCUGGCAGCGAGCGAAUCGGCACACUUUCUCAACCAUGAACGAUGGACGGCAGCAACGCGGUGACCAGAUUCGUUGUGUCAUUCCUUUGCACGCUGUGAUGCGCUAUAGAUAUACGAUAGAUAGUAUCUUAUACGUAGGUGUAUGCAUCGAGGGGUAGAAUGCAGAUUUGAUCGAAAACUGGUAGAACAACUUGCAAAGCUUAUCUGUUAUCAAAUAUCAAAGCAAGCCUCAAGCUACUGUGUAUUUGAAAUACACGGUACUCGAGGGAUAAUUGGGAUCUCCGCAAUGUCCGUGCAUACCAGAAUAAUUACUUGCUGUUAUAUUGUGAAUAUUCUA
RNA transcript from Neodiprion virginianus, 5266 nucleotides. It is a transcript of the gene named ring canal kelch homolog, with no coding region annotated. NCBI's taxonomy places the organism in Eukaryota, Metazoa, Arthropoda, Insecta, Hymenoptera, Diprionidae. The record is from RefSeq and is a predicted model, not a curated record. The transcript is spliced from 9 exons.